RNAcentral lists this ribosomal RNA (100 nucleotides) under Banksia media. RNAcentral's name for it is "partial 5.8S ribosomal RNA". The stretch from base 1 to 83 matches the Rfam family "5.8S ribosomal RNA", at positions 74 to 154 of the family's 154-position model. From Rfam's summary of the family: 5.8S ribosomal RNA (5.8S rRNA) is a component of the large subunit of the eukaryotic ribosome. It is transcribed by RNA polymerase I as part of the 45S precursor that also contains 18S and 28S rRNA. The record is from RNAcentral. Lineage: Eukaryota; Viridiplantae; Streptophyta; Magnoliopsida; Proteales; Proteaceae.
GCAGAAUCACGUGAACCAUCGAGUCUUUGAACGCAAGUUGCGCCCCAGGCCUUCGGGCCGAGGGCACGCCUGCCUGGGCGUCACGUAUCGCGUCGCCCGC